GACGAACGCUGGCGGCGUGCUUAACACAUGCAAGUCGAACGGAAAGGCCCCUUUUGGGGUACUCGAGUGGCGAACGGGUGAGUAACACGUGCGUAACCUCCCCUUAACUUCCGGAUAACUUCAGGAAACUGGGGCUAAUACCGGAUAGGAAUCCUUUCUGCAUGGUGGGGGUUGGAAAGCUUCGGCGGUUUUGGGUGGACUCGCGGCUGAUCAGCUUGUUGGUGGGGUAGUGGCUUACCAAGGCUUUGACGGGUAGCCGGACUGGGAGGGCGACCGGCCACAGUGGGACUGGGAUUGGGACCCGACCCCGACGGGAGGGAGAGGUGGGGAAGAGUGAACAAGGGGCGGAAGCCAGAUGCAGAAACGGCGCGGGCGGGAGGACGGUGUUCGGGUUGGAAUCCGAAUUCAGCAGGGGCGAAGCUUGUGGUGACGGUACCUGGAGAAGAAGCACCGGCUAACUACGUG
This 465-nucleotide ribosomal RNA is filed under the name uncultured bacterium. RNAcentral's name for it is "partial 16S ribosomal RNA". It matches the Rfam family "Bacterial small subunit ribosomal RNA", at positions 28 to 507 of the family's 1533-position model. The record is from RNAcentral.